Long non-coding RNA from Brienomyrus brachyistius, 760 nucleotides. RefSeq lists it as uncharacterized. Lineage: Eukaryota; Metazoa; Chordata; Actinopteri; Osteoglossiformes; Mormyridae. The record is from RefSeq and is a predicted model, not a curated record. The transcript has 3 exons.
CACUGCUUGCGUUGUGUACGCAUCGCGUUGCGUAUGUGUCACCUUGCAUGAAGUAUAUCGCGGCCCUAACAGAGUUUAUGGCAUGUAGCAGUGCAUAGUUUGUCCGAAUAUCCUAGUGAGCGCAGGCAACAAUGGUGACACGGUAUGUAAACGGCGCACCUCACUGAGAACACCUUAACAGCGCCAGCAAAGUUUGUGGAGGUCAUUUUGUCAAUGAUAGGAGACCUGGAGGCAAUUAAGCACAACACUGUCAACAUCACCCCCAAGGCACCACCGCGCCAACAAAUGAGGGCCCUGCAAGACCCCUACCCCGUCAGCGAGCAGCAAUCGGAAUGACGUGGAGGAUGCGGAUGACCAUGUGGACAAUGGAUCGGGAGAGACGGAGGACACGAAGGGUUUGGGUGGGGACUGCAGGCUCCCAGCUUUAUGAAGGACGGCUGCAGACGCAGUACGAAACUUGGUCAAGCCACCGACCAUGCACUGAACCUCAGCUAGAUGGCUCCACGAGUUUGUCAUACUGAGGUGAAGACAGCUGUGCGGGGGGCUGCGACACUGACCUGCCUGGUACAGCCUGUAAAAGCCGCAUCUCUUUGUCACCUCAUCUUCAGUGGCAGAAACUGGGCUAAAAACUUACAACUUUCUUAUUCUGGAGCAGAUCCCUCACCAGUCACACUUUCACACCUAAAUAUUGCCCUCCUAAGGUCAUCAGACAUUCUUCCCUCUCCCAUGGACGACAGCUUGUGUGUCUGUGUCCCGUAAC